GUGCUCGCUUUGGCAGCACAUACACUAAAAUUGGAACGAUACAGAGAAGAUGAACAUGGCCCCUGUGCAAGGAUGACAUGCAAAUUCGUGAAGUGUCCCAGAUUUUC
Leopardus geoffroyi (Geoffroy's cat) is the source of this 107-nucleotide small nuclear RNA. Lineage: Eukaryota; Metazoa; Chordata; Mammalia; Carnivora; Felidae. The record is from RefSeq and is a predicted model, not a curated record.